RNAcentral lists this ribosomal RNA (437 nucleotides) under uncultured Oscillospiraceae bacterium. Its description in RNAcentral is "partial 16S ribosomal RNA". It matches the Rfam family "Bacterial small subunit ribosomal RNA", at positions 341 to 792 of the family's 1533-position model. Lineage: Bacteria; Bacillati; Bacillota; Clostridia; Eubacteriales; Oscillospiraceae. The record is from RNAcentral.
ACGGGAGGCAGCAGUGGGGAAUAUUGGGCAAUGGACGAAAGUCUGACCCAGCGACGCCGCGUGAGGGAAGAAGGUCUUCGGAUUGUAAACCUCUUUCAGCAGGGAAGAAGAAAGUGACGGUACCUGCAGAAGAAGUCACGGCUAACUACGUGCCAGCAGCCGCGGUAAUACGUAGGUGGCGAGCGUUAUCCGGAAUUACUGGGUGUAAAGGGUGUGUAGGCGGAGAGGCAAGUCAGGCGUGAAAUUCAGAGGCUCAACCUCUGGACUGCGCUUGAAACUGUCUUCCUUGAGUGUUGGAGAGGUAAACGGAAUUCCUAGUGUAGUAGUGAAAUGCGUAGAUAUUAGGAGGAACACCGGUGGCGAAGGCGGUUUACUGGACAACAACUGACGCUGAGACACGAAAGCGUGGGGAGCAAACAGGAUUAGAUACCCUGGUA